Molecule: ribosomal RNA, 775 nt
Filed under: uncultured Neocallimastigales
Lineage: Eukaryota; Fungi; Neocallimastigomycota; Neocallimastigomycetes; Neocallimastigales
Description: partial large subunit ribosomal RNA
Rfam family: Eukaryotic large subunit ribosomal RNA
Source: RNAcentral
GUACACGCUGUGACUAGCAUAUCAAUAAGCGGAGGAAAAGAAACUAACAAGGAUUCCCCUAGUAACGGCGAGUGAAGCGGGAAGAGCUCAAAUUUGAAAUCUUAAAGGGUUUCCCUCUACGAAUUGUAGUUUAAAGAAGUGUUUUCUGUUGAGGUUUUGGUAAAAGUUCUUUGGAAUAGGACAUCAUAGAGGGUGAGAAUCCCGUAUUUGACCUUUACUUUCAACUUUGUGAUACACUUUCAAAGAGUCGGAUUGUUUGGGAAUGCAGUCCAAAAUGGGUGGUAAAUUUCAUCUAAAGCUAAAUAUUGGCGGAGAGACCGAUAGCGAACAAGUACCGUGAGGGAAAGAUGAAAAGAACUUUGAAAAGAGAGUUAAACAGUACGUGAAAUUGUCAAAAGGGAAGCGUUUGACACCAGUGUUGUUUUUCUGAAAAUCAAUUAAAGAACUGUUUAUGCUAAGCUGUUUAGACUUUAUCAGCUAUCUGUUUAGUUUUGAGCUUUUCUUUAAUGCACUUUUCAGUUAACAAGUCAACAUCAAUUUCUUUUGCUGUAAAAAAGCUUGAGGAAGGUGGCUUGAGAUUCGUCUUAAGUGUUUAUAGCCUCUUGCCUAUGCAGUCGGAGAGAUUGAGGUCUGCAGCGUAGAUCCUUCGGGGCUAAAUGCAUUUGUGCUAAGUUAUAGCAUUUUAUAGACAACUUGUUGACUAUGAUUUGUCUUGUAGCUUACUCGCUUAUGUUAUUUUACCUACGCUUAGGAUGUUGAAGAUGUAGCACAUCAU